Molecule: long non-coding RNA, 246 nt
Filed under: Elaeis guineensis (African oil palm)
Lineage: Eukaryota; Viridiplantae; Streptophyta; Magnoliopsida; Arecales; Arecaceae
Description: long non-coding RNA (EGUI_LNC032163)
Source: RNAcentral
ACAUUCAUCCAUCCAACAAGAAAUGAUACUAAGCAUUCAUUCAUCCAAAGAGACAUAAUAAUAAACAUUCAUACAACCAAAGGGAUAUGAUAAUAAACAUUCAUCCAAAGAGACAUGAGUAGAAAGGAAACAACCUCAUUCAUAUACACCAAAAUAGAAGUUACAAGAGUCAUAAAGAGCAUAAAGCUCUCAUACAUCCAAUCUAUAAAAUAUAACUAAGUAAUCUAAUACAAAAUAAAGUCAGGG